CUCCAAAUUCCUUACUUAUCCCCUCAGAUCCAAACGUCGGUCUGAGUGGCUACAAAAGUUGGAAAAGUGAAACUGAAUUGGACUUGGAUUCUUUAGUGAUAUACAAGUUCAUUUCAAAAAAAU
Molecule: small nucleolar RNA, 123 nt
Filed under: Echinops telfairi (small Madagascar hedgehog)
Lineage: Eukaryota; Metazoa; Chordata; Mammalia; Afrosoricida; Tenrecidae
Description: Small nucleolar RNA SNORA61 (ENSETEG00000026644.1)
Source: RNAcentral